This 401-nucleotide ribosomal RNA is filed under the name uncultured eukaryote. Its description in RNAcentral is "SSU rRNA". It matches the Rfam family "Eukaryotic small subunit ribosomal RNA", at positions 157 to 560 of the family's 1831-position model. The record is from RNAcentral.
UUCUAGAGCUAAUACAUGCGCAAAUCCCGACUUCUGGAAGGGACGUAUUUAUUAGAUAAAAGGCCAGCCGGACUUCGGUCCGUCCUGUGUUGAAUCAUGAUAACUUCACGAAUCGCAUGGCCUUGUGCCGGCGAUGUUUCAAUCAAAUAUCUGCCCUAUCAACUUUCGACGGUAGGAUAGAGGCCUACCGUGGUUCUUACGGGUGACGGAGGAUCAGGGUUCGAUUCCGGAGAGGGAGCCUGAGAAACGGYUACCACAUCCAAGGAAGGCAGCAGUCGCGUAAAUUGCCCAAUCCCGACACGGGGAGGCAGUGACAAUAAAUAACAAUACCGGGCAUUCAAUGUCUGGUAAUUGGAAUGAGUACAAUAUAAAUCUCUUAACGAGGAUCCAUUGGAGGGCAA